RNAcentral lists this ribosomal RNA (468 nucleotides) under uncultured bacterium. Its description in RNAcentral is "partial 16S ribosomal RNA". It matches the Rfam family "Bacterial small subunit ribosomal RNA", at positions 28 to 507 of the family's 1533-position model. The record is from RNAcentral.
GACGAACGCUGGCGGCGUGCUUAACACAUGCAAGUCGAACGGAAAGGCCCUGCUCUUGUGGGGGGCGCGUGUGGCGAACGGGGGAGUAAAACGUGAGUAACCUGUCCUCUACUUUGGGAUAACUGCAGGAAACUGGGGCUAUUACCCGGUAUGAGCUCUGGCUGCAUGGGGGGGGUUGUAGAGUUUCGGCGGUUGGGGUUGGAUUCGCGGCUUAUCAGCUUGUUGGUGGGGUAGUGGCUUACCAAGGCUUUGACGGGUAGCCGGCCUGAGAGGGUGACCGGCCACAUUGGGACUGAGAUACGGCCCAGACUCCUACGGGAGGCAGCAGUGGGGAAUAUUGCACAAUGGGCGGAAGCCUGAUGCAGCAACGCCGCGUGCGGGAUGACGGCCUUCGGGUUGUAAACCGCUUUCGCCUGGGACGAAGCGUGAGUGACGGUAAUGGGUAAAGAAGCACCGGCUAACUACGUG